Molecule: non-coding RNA, 284 nt
Filed under: Clostridium magnum
Lineage: Bacteria; Bacillati; Bacillota; Clostridia; Eubacteriales; Clostridiaceae
Description: T-box sequence
Rfam family: T-box leader
About the family: Uncharged tRNA acts as the effector for transcription antitermination of genes in the T-box leader family. T-boxes are found upstream of many aminoacyl-tRNA synthetase genes and some amino acid biosynthetic genes usually in Gram-positive bacteria. The anticodon of a specific tRNA base pairs to a specifier sequence within the T-box motif, and the NCCA acceptor tail of the tRNA base pairs to a conserved bulge in the T-box antiterminator hairpin.
Source: RNAcentral
GUAAAGGCUGCGAUGGAGAAAAAAAUAUUCGAUGUAUUAAUUACAGAGAGCCAACGUUAGGUGUAAGUUGGUAUUAAUGUGGAUAUAUAAUGAUCACUCUGGAGCCUCCAAGUUGAAAGGCUUUUGUUAAGUAAAUGAGGACGUUUACCAGCGAUACAUGGUUAUGGUUCACAAUGAAUAAGAUAUUUUAAUCAGUGUUCAAAGUUGACCUGAUAAUGAGUGGCAAUUAGUAUAUCUAAUUGUAAAUAAGGUGGUACCACGGAAGUAUAUCUCUCGUCCUUAUA